RNAcentral lists this ribosomal RNA (460 nucleotides) under uncultured bacterium. Its description in RNAcentral is "partial 16S ribosomal RNA". It matches the Rfam family "Bacterial small subunit ribosomal RNA", at positions 338 to 795 of the family's 1533-position model. The record is from RNAcentral.
CCUACGGGUGGCUGCAGUGAGGAAUAUUGGUCAAUGGACGAGAGUCUGAACCAGCCAAGUAGCGUGAAGGAUGACUGCCCUAUGGGUUGUAAACUUCUUUUAUAUGGGAAUAAAACAGGGUAUGAAUACCCUCUUGUAUGUACCAUAUGAAUAAGGAUCGGCUAACUCCGUGCCAGCAGCCGCGGUAAUACGGAGGAUCCGAGCGUUAUCCGGAUUUAUUGGGGUUAAAGGGGGCGGAGGGGGGUUGUUAAGUCAGGUGUGAAAGGUGGGGGCUCAACCCGAAAAGUGCAGUUGAAACUGGCAGUCUUGAGUGGGGUAGAGGUAGGCGGAAUUCGUGGUGUAGCGGUGAAAUGCUUAGAUAUCACGAAGAACUCCGAUUGCGAAGGCAGCGCACUGGACUGCAACUGACACUGAUGCUCGAAAGUGUGGGUAUCAAACAGGAUUAGAUACCCCUGUAGUC